GAUGAAGAACGCAGCGAAAUGCGAUACGUAAUGUGAAUUGCAGAAUUCAGUGAAUCAUCGAGUCUUUGAACGCACAUUGCGCCCGCUAGUAUUCUGGCGGGCAUGCCUGUCCGAGCGUCAUUUCAACCCUCAAGCCCCCGGGCUUGGUGUUGGGGAUCGGCGAGCCUCCGCGCCCGCCGUCCCCUAAAUCUAGUGGCGGUCUCGCUGUAGCUUCCUCUGCGUAGUAGCACACCUCGCACUGGGAAACAGCGCGGCCACGCCGUUAAACCCCCAACUUCUGAACGUUUGACCUCGGAUCAGGUAGGAAUACCCGCUGAACUUAAGCAUAUAAAUAAGCGGAGGA
Molecule: unclassified non-coding RNA, 343 nt
Filed under: soil metagenome
Description: partial contains 5.8S ribosomal RNA, internal transcribed spacer 2, and large subunit ribosomal RNA
Rfam family: 5.8S ribosomal RNA (bases 1-120)
Source: RNAcentral